This 328-nucleotide ribosomal RNA is filed under the name uncultured eukaryote. Its description in RNAcentral is "partial 18S ribosomal RNA". It matches the Rfam family "Eukaryotic small subunit ribosomal RNA", at positions 1470 to 1796 of the family's 1831-position model. The record is from RNAcentral.
CCCUUAGAUGUCCGGGGCUGCACGCGCGCUACACUGAAGGAAUCAGCGUGCUAAAACCAUUGUCGAAAGGCAUUGGUAAACCCAUUAAAAUCCUACGUGAUUGGGAUCGGGAAUUGCAAUUAUUUCCCUUGAACGAGGAAUUCCCAGUAAGUGUGGGUCAUAAGCUCGCGUUGAUUACGUCCCUGCCCUUUGUACACACCGCCCGUCGCUGCCCGGGACUGAGCCGUUUCGAGAAAAGCGGGGACUGCUGCUGUCGGGGCUUUCGGGCCUUGGCUUCGGUGGAAAUCGCUUUAAUCGCAGUGGCUUGAACCGGGCAAAAGUCGUAACA